Molecule: small nuclear RNA, 109 nt
Filed under: Dasypus novemcinctus (nine-banded armadillo)
Lineage: Eukaryota; Metazoa; Chordata; Mammalia; Cingulata; Dasypodidae
Source: RNAcentral
GGUAUAGCUAUGAAUGCCAAAAUAUAUUAAAAUUAUAAUGAUACUGAGAAGAUUAGCAUGGCCCCUGCACAAGGAUGACAUGAAAAUUCAUGAAGUGUUCCAUAUUUUU